This 497-nucleotide ribosomal RNA is filed under the name uncultured bacterium. RNAcentral's name for it is "partial 16S ribosomal RNA". It matches the Rfam family "Bacterial small subunit ribosomal RNA", at positions 28 to 507 of the family's 1533-position model. The record is from RNAcentral.
GACGAACGCUGGCGGCGUGCCUAAUACAUGCAAGUCGAACGCUGAAGCUUGGUGCUUGCACCGAGCGGAUGAGUUGCGAACGGGUGAGUAACGCGUAGGUAACCUGCCUGGUAGCGGGGGAUAACUAUUGGAAACGAUAGCUAAUACCGCAUAAGAGUAGAUGUUGCAUGACAUUUGCUUAAAAGGUGCAAUUGCAUCACUACCAGAUGGACCUGCGUUGUAUUAGCUAGUUGGUGAGGUAACGGCUCACCAAGGCAACGAUACAUAGCCGACCUGAGAGGGUGAUCGGCCACACUGGGACUGAGACACGGCCCAGACUCCUACGGGAGGCAGCAGUAGGGAAUCUUCGGCAAUGGACGGAGGUCUGACCGAGCAACGCCGCGUGAGUGAAGAAGGUUUUCGGAUCGUAAAGCUCUGUUGUAAGAGAAGAACGAGUGUGAGAGUGGAAAGUUCACACUGUGACGGUAGCUUACCAGAAAGGGACGGCUAACUACGUG